Molecule: long non-coding RNA, 867 nt
Organism: Hemicordylus capensis (graceful crag lizard)
Lineage: Eukaryota; Metazoa; Chordata; Lepidosauria; Squamata; Cordylidae
Exons: 5
Source: RefSeq, a predicted model, not a curated record
UGCAGAGUGGCAUGAUCUCCUGGAUGAGAAAACUAGUAUGGAUAUUGACCAGGAUCGCAAACAAUGCACAUAGGUUUUCCAGAGACGUCUGGCCAAAUGCCAAGGGGAACCGGAUGCUGGAUUGCAUGGACAUUUUAUGUGUAACAGCAAGACUCUUCUUAUGCAAUGCCUUCCAUCUUACAGAUAACUUCCUGGCCGGGGCGGGAACAGAAUGACAUUGCAGAAAGAUAAUUUGUUCCAACAUUUCAGAAAGAAACGUGAAGGCGAAUGAACUUCCAAGCACCACCAAGGGCGGGCAAGAUAACAAGAGAAAACGUAGGAGCACAGUGCAUUUAUGAGGGAUGUUUGCAAUAGUGUGCAUCAAAAGUCAAGUUAGACUCUGUGAAAUCAAUCAAACUGAACCGAAAAGCCAAGAAGAAUCCCAGCACGCAUCUGCAGUUUUACAUAUCGUGCAUGCCCUGAUCCUAAGCUCCAACACUUAUCAAACAGCAGUUUCUACUGGAUGGUCCUCAGAAAAAGACCUUGUAUUCAAGCAUCUCCUCUUUAAGGGAUCCGUGGUUGAAGUUUCUGUAAUCUGGUGUGGCGUUAUCUUUCAUCUCCCCAAGGCCUCUUUCCUGCUGGAGCUAUGGAGUGUGACAAUGGUGUUUGUAUCCAAUCUGUCAAACGCCAUUAUCACACUAAAUAGUUACUGUUAGACAAGCCGUCAUUUCAGCAAAAAAAGGAGGGGGGGAAAGGAAGAGAAUUAUUUAAGUGAUAUAUUCCCUGGCUACAGGAUACAGCAACAGCAUGUCAUGACAACUCCUUGCUGUUUAGAAAUGAUGCCAAAGUAUCGUGCAAUAAAUAAUAUGCUCUGUUUUCUUAAAAGUA